RNAcentral lists this ribosomal RNA (359 nucleotides) under uncultured soil bacterium. RNAcentral's name for it is "bacterial SSU rRNA". It matches the Rfam family "Bacterial small subunit ribosomal RNA", at positions 26 to 384 of the family's 1533-position model. The record is from RNAcentral.
AGGACGAACGCUGGCGGCGUGCUUAACACAUGCAAGUCGAGCGGAAAGGCCUUUCGGGGUACUCGAGCGGCGAACGGGUGAGUAACACGUGAGUAAUCUGCCCAUCGCUUCAGGAUAGCCAUCGGAAACGGUGAUUAAUACUGGAUAUGACAUUCCUUCGCAUGUUGGGGUGUGGAAAGUUUUUUCGGCGGUGGAUGUGCUCGCGGCCUAUCAGCUUGUUGGUGGGGUAAUGGCCUACCAAGGCUUUGACGGGUAGCCGGCCUGAGAGGGUGACCGGCCACACUGGGACUGAGACACGGCCCAGACUCCUACGGGAGGCAGCAGUGGGGAAUAGUUGGACAAGUGGGACGCAAAGGCCU